UCGAGAAUCUUUCGCAAUGGACGGAAGUCUGACGAAGCGACGCCGCGUGUGUGAUGAAGGCUCUAGGGUUGUAAAGCACUUUCGCUUGGGAAUAAGAGAAGGCGGUUAAUACCCGCCGGAUUUGAGCGUACCAGGUAAAGAAGCACCGGCUAACUCCGUGCCAGCAGCUGCGGUAAUACGGAGGGUGCUAGCGUUAAUCGGAUUUAUUGGGCGUAAAGGGCGUGUAGGCGGAAGAGUAAGUCAGUUGUCAAAUCUCGGGGCUCAACCCCGAAUCGGCAUCUGAUACUAUUUUUCUAGAGGGUAGAUGGAGAAAAGGGAAUUUCACGUGUAGCGGUGAAAUGCGUAGAUAUGUGGAAGAACACCAGUGGCGAAGG
This 374-nucleotide ribosomal RNA is filed under the name uncultured Chlamydia sp. RNAcentral's name for it is "bacterial SSU rRNA". It matches the Rfam family "Bacterial small subunit ribosomal RNA", at positions 355 to 721 of the family's 1533-position model. Lineage: Bacteria; Pseudomonadati; Chlamydiota; Chlamydiia; Chlamydiales; Chlamydiaceae. The record is from RNAcentral.